AGGGAGCACCACAUUCAUUCUGGAAAUGGAGUGGCUGGAGAGAGCAAUAUCUCAGGUCUGGUUUCGUAGCUCCUUUCUACGUGCCUCAGUUUACCCUCUGCCCAAGGAGGCGAGACGUUCUCACGGACCAACUCCGCGCCAUCUAGGCCUGCAACAGCACGCCCUUUCCAAUUACAUUCCCUACGCGGCCACUGAAGCACAAUAUCUAGCCGUGCUGUCAUCCCGCCCGUGCGCCUCCUUUCUCGGUUCCACUCAGCCUGGGAAACGGAAGAUCAAUGCGCCAGGCGGCUGCAAAGUCGGUUUCCUAUUGGCCAGAGCCGCAAAAGCUGCGCCCGCCCGUCCCGCCUCUCCCAACCACCUAGGCGGGGCCUCCCCUCUGACCCAGGGCAGCCUUCGGCCCCGCGGCUCCGGGCUCUCCAGGAAGUCUUAAAGGGGCCCCGACCUGAUCCGGACACCGAGAAAAUUGCUCUCUCCGGACUUGCCUGGGGAGGAGUCCCAGGCACGGUUGGGGAUAAGGACCGCGUAACUGAAGGCGGGCCCCCAGUCUGUCGCGCUCUGUGAACCUGCCGAAGGUCCCUCCCACUAGUUUUGGGCGCAGUUUCUCGAUUCACCAUUAGGGGGAGGGGCCCCCAGGCCUUUUGACAGCGAAUAAUAAUAAUAGCUAACGUUGAUUCA
This is a long non-coding RNA of Capra hircus (goat), 675 nucleotides long. RefSeq lists it as uncharacterized. The record is from RefSeq and is a predicted model, not a curated record. NCBI's taxonomy places the organism in Eukaryota, Metazoa, Chordata, Mammalia, Artiodactyla, Bovidae. The transcript has 2 exons.